GACGAACGCUGGCGGCGUGCUUAACACAUGCAAGUCGAACGGAAAGGCCCUGCUUGCAGGGUACUCGAGUGGCGAACGGGUGAGUAACACGUGGGUGAUCUGCCCUGCACUUCGGGAUAAGCCUGGGAAACUGGGUCUAAUACCGGAUAGGAGCCAUUUUUAGUGUGAUGGUUGGAAAGUUUUUUCGGUGUAGGAUGAGCUCGCGGCCUAUCAGCUUGUUGGUGGGGUAAUGGCCUACCAAGGCGGCGACGGGUAGCCGGCCUGAGAGUGUGGAAGGCCACAGUGGGACUGAGAGACGGCCCAGACGCCGACGGGAGGCAGCAGGGGGGAAUAUUGAACAAUAGGCGCAAGCCGGAUGAAGAGACGCCGCGUGGGGGAUGACGGCCUUCGGGUUGUAAACUCCUUUCGCUAGGGACGAAGCUUUUUGUGACGGUACCUAGAGAAGAAGCACCGGCUAACUACGUG
RNAcentral lists this ribosomal RNA (465 nucleotides) under uncultured bacterium. RNAcentral describes it as "partial 16S ribosomal RNA". It matches the Rfam family "Bacterial small subunit ribosomal RNA", at positions 28 to 507 of the family's 1533-position model. The record is from RNAcentral.